AUUGAACGCUGGCGGCAGGCCUAACACAUGCAAGUCGAACGGUAACAGGAAGAAGCUUGCUUCUUUGCUGACGAGUGGCGGACGGGUGAGUAAUGUCUGGAAACUGCCUGAUGGAGGGGGAUAACUACUGGAAACGGUAGCUAAUACCGCAUAACGUCGCAAGACCAAAGAGGGGGACCUUCGGGCCUCUUGCCAUCGGAUGUGCCCAGAUGGGAUUAGCUAGUAGGUGGGGUAACGGCUCACCUAGGCGACGAUCCCUAGCUGGUCUGAGAGGAUGACCAGCCACACUGGAACUGAGACACGGUCCAGACUCCUACGGGAGGCAGCAGUGGGGAAUAUUGCACAAUGGGCGCAAGCCUGAAGCAGCCAUGCCGCGUGUAUGAAGAAGGCCUUCGGGUUGUAAAGUACUUUCAGCGGGGAGGAAGGGAGUAAAGUUAAUACCUUUGCUCAUUGACGUUACCCGCAGAAGAAGCACCGGCUAACUCCGUG
This 489-nucleotide ribosomal RNA is filed under the name uncultured bacterium. Its description in RNAcentral is "partial 16S ribosomal RNA". It matches the Rfam family "Bacterial small subunit ribosomal RNA", at positions 30 to 507 of the family's 1533-position model. The record is from RNAcentral.